AUAGUUUCUUCUCACUUUAUGGGAGGACUUCGGAGAAAUUGAAGAAACUGAGCUGCAAGCUAAAAUGGGAAAGAAUGAAGAAUUCCUUGUAAUCCUUGGAAGGAAUAUAGGAAUAUCUUCGUAUCAGGGUAUGCACAUAUUAAAAUAUUUGACUUACAUAUUUUUAUUUAAUACAACACUACACAUACAUUGUGCCAUACACGUUUAUCGCUGCAAACUAGAUUCAACUCAACAAUACACAUAAAUCCUGCUUACCCACAGGCGUUGGAGCUUAUCAACUGGUACUGACUUUUCAUCUUUACUUUUUAACUUGCCCCUGAACAGCAUAUUGAAUACUUUAUUUGGUGUGACAAUAGGGCAAAAACAAACAAACACAUGCUUUCAAGUUAUGCAUCAGCCAGCUUCUCUGCGUCAUCAACGUCUCUCGUAGUAACUCCCACUCAGUAGCAAGUUAUCCCCAUUGCAGAAAUUUCAACACAAGACUUCAGUAAGUGUUUCACUUAUCUAGAUGUGAAUAGGUUUAUUCAUGAAACAGAAUAACAUACAUUUGCUUUUCAUCUUCCUUGACAGAUUGGAGUUUUCUAUGUUGAGGCCGAAAUGUUUAUUUCAAAUGACUUGCAGAAAUUUUGUGUGCUUGAAUGUUUAGGAUGUAAACAAAAAAGCGCACGAAAGAAAGAAGAGAAUUUGAAUGCACAAAGUUGGGUCGAUUACAGCAGUAAUUUCUAGAGUUAUAGCUGAGAAGAUGCUCUCCAUGACAGCAGAACAUAUAUUUGAAACAACUUUGGUCAAUGUUGCCCCUUAUUUAUAUGUAGUAGUAUACUUCAUAUAUGUUUUUGAUUUGCUAUUUCUGCAAAAAUCAGCCACAACUAAAUCAAAUGACUCUUCUCACUUACAGAAUCAACUCCUGCCCAUUGACCAUGUUCAUAAGAUGUUGUCGG
Molecule: long non-coding RNA, 938 nt
Organism: Lycium ferocissimum
Lineage: Eukaryota; Viridiplantae; Streptophyta; Magnoliopsida; Solanales; Solanaceae
Exons: 3
Source: RefSeq, a predicted model, not a curated record